AAGUCGUAACAAGGUUUCCGUAGGUGAACCUGCGGAAGGAUCAUUAUUGAAUGAAUUUGGUGUGGUUGUUGCUGGCCUUCUUGGAGGCAUGUGCACACCUACCAUCCUCAUCUCUCCACCUGUGCACCUCUUGUAGAUUUGGAAUUGAUUAUCUGAGGCAACUCGGUCGUGAGGACUGCUAGCACUUAGCUGGCUUUCUUUGCAAUUCCAGGUCUAUGUUUUUCAUAUACCCCAUUGUAUGUAACAGAAUGUAUCAUUGGGCCUUGUGCCUAUAAACCUUAUACAACUUUCAGCAACGGAUCUCUUGGCUCUC
This 313-nucleotide unclassified non-coding RNA is filed under the name Hebeloma cavipes. RNAcentral's name for it is "partial internal transcribed spacer region". The stretch from base 1 to 46 matches the Rfam family "Eukaryotic small subunit ribosomal RNA", at positions 1786 to 1831 of the family's 1831-position model. Lineage: Eukaryota; Fungi; Basidiomycota; Agaricomycetes; Agaricales; Hymenogastraceae. The record is from RNAcentral.